This 730-nucleotide ribosomal RNA is filed under the name Pseudomonas sp. RNAcentral describes it as "bacterial SSU rRNA". It matches the Rfam family "Bacterial small subunit ribosomal RNA", at positions 28 to 747 of the family's 1533-position model. The record is from RNAcentral. Lineage: Bacteria; Pseudomonadati; Pseudomonadota; Gammaproteobacteria; Pseudomonadales; Pseudomonadaceae.
AUUGAACGCUAGCGGGAUGCUUUACACAUGCAAGUCGAACGGCAGCACGAGAGAGCUUGCUCUCUUGGUGGCGAGUGGCGGACGGGUGAGUAAUGUAUCGGAACGUGCCCAGUAGCGGGGGAUAACUACUCGAAAGAGUGGCUAAUACCGCAUACGCCCUACGGGGGAAAGGGGGGGAUCGCAAGACCUCUCACUAUUGGAGCGGCCGAUAUCGGAUUAGCUAGUUGGUGGGGUAAAGGCCUACCAAGGCGACGAUCCGUAGCUGGUUUGAGAGGACGACCAGCCACACUGGGACUGAGACACGGCCCAGACUCCUACGGGAGGCAGCAGUGGGGAAUUUUGGACAAUGGGGGAAACCCUGAUCCAGCCAUCCCGCGUGUGUGAUGAAGGCCUUCGGGUUGUAAAGCACUUUUGACAGGGAAGAAAUGACAGGAGCUAAUAACUUCUGUAGAUGACGGUACCUGUAGAAUAAGCACCGGCUAACUACGUGCCAGCAGCCGCGGUAAUACGUAGGGUGCAAGCGUUAAUCGGAAUUACUGGGCGUAAAGGGUACGCAGGCGGCUAGGAAAGAAAGAUGUGAAAUCCCAGGGCUCAACCUUGGAACUGCAUUUUUAACUACCUGGCUAGAGUAUGUCAGAGGGGGGUAGAAUUCCACGUGUAGCAGUGAAAUGCGUAGAGAUGUGGAGGAAUACCGAUGGCGAAGGCAGCCCCCUGGGAUAAUACUGACGCU